GACGAACGCUGGCGGCGUGCUUAACACAUGCAAGUCGAACGGAAAGGCCCUGCUUGCCGGGUACUCAAGUGGCGAACGGGUGAGUAACACGUGGGUGAUCUGCCCUGCACUUCGGGAUAAGCCUGGGAAACUGGGUCUAAUACCGGAUAGGAGCCAUUUUUAGUGUGAUGGUUGGAAAGUUUUUUCGGUGUAGGAUGAGCUCGCGGCCUAUCAGCUUGUUGGUGGGGUAAUGGCCUACCAAGGCGGCGACGGGUAGCCGGCCUGAGAGGGUGGACGGCCACAUUGGGACUGAGAUACGGCCCAGACUCCUACGGGAGGCAGCAGUGGGGAAUAUUGCACAAUGGGCGCAAGCCUGAUGCAGCGACGCCGCGGGGGGGAUGACGGCCUUCGGGUUGGAAACUCCUUUCGCUAGGGACGAAGCUUUUUGUGACGGUACCUAGAGAAGAAGCACCGGCUAACUACGUG
Molecule: ribosomal RNA, 465 nt
Filed under: uncultured bacterium
Lineage: Bacteria
Description: partial 16S ribosomal RNA
Rfam family: Bacterial small subunit ribosomal RNA
Source: RNAcentral